RNAcentral lists this ribosomal RNA (416 nucleotides) under Saharolana sp. MB-2005. RNAcentral's name for it is "partial 16S ribosomal RNA". It matches the Rfam family "Archaeal large subunit ribosomal RNA", at positions 2002 to 2641 of the family's 2987-position model. Lineage: Eukaryota; Metazoa; Arthropoda; Malacostraca; Isopoda; Cirolanidae. The record is from RNAcentral.
AAAUGGCCGCGGUAUCUUAACCGUGCUAAGGUAGCAUAAUAGUUUGCUUCUUAAUUAGAAGCUAGAAUGAAUGUAUGAACGGGUAAGCACUGAUCCACCUCUCCCCCCUAAACUUAAGAGUAUGGUAAAAACGCCAUAAUGAUCUAGGAGGACGAUAAGACCCUAUAAAACUUUACUAUCUAUUCCCGUCUAUAUAAGAUAUCGAUAAGGGCAUAAAUAGUUAAGCUGGGGCGGCCACCACCCUUAAAACGUUAGUGAAUCCAACCACCAUGUGUGACCCCAAGAACUACCAAAGUUAGAAAAAGUUACUUUAGGGAUAACAGCGUAAUUGCCCUAGAAAGCUCCCAUCGAUAGGGCAGUUUACGACCUCGAUGUUGAAUUGAAGGCCCACCUUGGGGCAGCCCCUAAGCCAUGGA